Molecule: ribosomal RNA, 534 nt
Filed under: Salmonella enterica
Lineage: Bacteria; Pseudomonadati; Pseudomonadota; Gammaproteobacteria; Enterobacterales; Enterobacteriaceae
Also listed under: 1 other name
Description: bacterial SSU rRNA
Rfam family: Bacterial small subunit ribosomal RNA
Source: RNAcentral
GAUUAGCUUGUUGGUGAGGUAACGGCUCACCAAGGCGACGAUCCCUAGCUGGUCUGAGAGGAUGACCAGCCACACUGGAACUGAGACACGGUCCAGACUCCUACGGGAGGCAGCAGUGGGGAAUAUUGCACAAUGGGCGCAAGCCUGAUGCAGCCAUGCCGCGUGUAUGAAGAAGGCCUUCGGGUUGUAAAGUACUUUCAGCGGGGAGGAAGGUGUUGUGGUUAAUAACCGCAGCAAUUGACGUUACCCGCAGAAGAAGCACCGGCUAACUCCGUGCCAGCAGCCGCGGUAAUACGGAGGGUGCAAGCGUUAAUCGGAAUUACUGGGCGUAAAGCGCACGCAGGCGGUCUGUCAAGUCGGAUGUGAAAUCCCCGGGCUCAACCUGGGAACUGCAUUCGAAACUGGCAGGCUUGAGUCUUGUAGAGGGGGGUAGAAUUCCAGGUGUAGCGGUGAAAUGCGUAGAGAUCUGGAGGAAUACCGGUGGCGAAGGCGGCCCCCUGGACAAAGACUGACGCUCAGGUGCGAAAGCGUGGG